ACGAACGCUGGCGGCGUGCUUAACACAUGCAAGUCGAACGAUGAAGCCCUUCGGGGUGGAUUAGUGGCGAACGGGUGAGUAACACGUGGGCAAUCUGCCCUUCACUCUGGGACAAGCCCUGGAAACGGGGUCUAAUACCGGAUAACACUCCUGCCUGCAUGGGUGGGGGUUAAAAGCUCCGGCGGUGAAGGAUGAGCCCGCGGCCUAUCAGCUUGUUGGUGGGGUAAUGGCCCACCAAGGCGACGACGGGUAGCCG
This 256-nucleotide ribosomal RNA is filed under the name Streptomyces sp. ISO168_OTU243. RNAcentral's name for it is "partial 16S ribosomal RNA". It matches the Rfam family "Bacterial small subunit ribosomal RNA", at positions 29 to 289 of the family's 1533-position model. Lineage: Bacteria; Bacillati; Actinomycetota; Actinomycetes; Kitasatosporales; Streptomycetaceae. RNAcentral also lists the same sequence under 2 other names. The record is from RNAcentral.